Molecule: ribosomal RNA, 976 nt
Filed under: Patescibacteria group bacterium
Lineage: Bacteria
Description: partial 23S ribosomal RNA
Rfam family: Bacterial large subunit ribosomal RNA
Source: RNAcentral
UAUCUACUCAUAAUGCCGAUAAUGGAUGCCUAGGAGAUUUUGGCCGAAGAAGGACGCAGACGACGGCGAUACUCAUCGGGGAAGUGUCAUCAACUCCUGAUCCGAUGGUUUCCGAAUGGAGAAAUCCGUCCCUUUUUAGGGACAACCUUUUGUAAACAAAGUUCCGCAAGGGAUUUAAUAGCAACUGGUAGGGCACGGGACCAACUGAAACAUCUAAGUAGUCCCAGGAAAAUAAAUCAUAUGAGAUUGCCUAAGUAGCGGCGAGCGAAAAGGCAACAGCCUAAACCUUCAAGUAAUUGAGGGGGUUGCAGGGCAGAGGAUAUUCGAUGUAUUUUAGAUAGCAGAAGAACCCGGAAUGGUUCCCCAUAGAACGUGAAAGGCGUGUAUACAAAAUCUAAAAUACCGAUACUUUGUUCCUAAGUACCAUGGAGCACGAUGAAACUCUGUGGGAAUCUGGAGUGUCCACACCCCAAGGCUAAAUACCAAAAUCUACCGAUAGUGAACUAGUACCGCGAGGGAAAGGUGAAAAGCACCCCGGAAGGGGGAUGAAAUAGAACUGAAAUUGUCGGCUGUCAAGCAGACGAAGUUGAGCGCAAGCGAAAUGACGUCGUGCCUAUUGAAGAAUGAACCGGUGAGUUAUUCUGUACUCUGUUAGUCUAAGUAACUUAGUUACGAAGGCGUAGUGAAAGCAUGGCCUAAUUGGCCGAUUAAGAGUAUGGAUUAGACCCGAAACCAGGUGAGCUAACCUUGAGCAGGGUGAAUGUUCCCGAAAGGGAACAGGAGGCCCGAACCCGUGAUCGUAGCAAUGAUCUGGGAUGACUUGAGGUUAGAGGCAAUAUGCCAAACGAACUUGGAGAUAGCUGGUUCUCCCCGAAAUAUAUUUAGGUAUAGCGCGAAAUAUAUGGUACCGUGGGGUAGAGCACUGAAUGGUUUUCGGUUUCGCAAGAGAUCACAACCAAUCAAACUCCGAAUACAC